This 392-nucleotide ribosomal RNA is filed under the name uncultured bacterium. Its description in RNAcentral is "bacterial SSU rRNA". It matches the Rfam family "Bacterial small subunit ribosomal RNA", at positions 56 to 442 of the family's 1533-position model. The record is from RNAcentral.
UGCAAGUCGAGGGGUAACGGAAGUAGCUUGCUACUAGACGACGACCGGCGCACGGGUGAGUAACGCGUAUGUAAUCUGCCUUGUACAGAGGGAUAGCCCAGAGAAAUUUGGAUUAAUACCUCAUAGUAUUACCGAAUCGCAUGAUUCGGUAAUUAAAGCUCCGGCGGUACAAGAUGAACAUGCGUGACAUUAGCUAGUUGGUAAGGUAAUGGCUUACCAAGGCCACGAUGUCUAGGGGUUCUGAGAGGAUGAUCCCCCACACUGGUACUGAGACACGGACCAGACUCCUACGGGAGGCAGCAGUGAGGAAUAUUGGUCAAUGGACGCAAGUCUGAACCAGCCAUCCCGCGUGAAGGAUGACUGCCCUAUGGGUUGUAAACUUCUUUUAUAUG